GGGGGCGACACGGUUUCGACGGAAGCUGUCGCGGCCCGAAGGCAUGCCGGGACCCACCUGCCCGUAACUUGGUGGAAACUAGAACUGCCAACAACAACUUGGCACUUGCUGCUUAAUUAAUUAAGCGCACGCUUCCCCGGGCUUUGCUCACGGGCCCGGCAAGAGGCGUCACACAGUGAGCUGGCCCGAGCCUUUCGGUCCGUAAGGUUCGGGCGAGAUUCAUCGGACUAGCCGGCUACGUUUCUUGCUCAUUCUGACCGCGGCUGGCGAACGCGCGGAAGGCCCUCGCGGGCCAGGCCGCACACCGAAUCGAGAUAAGCAUGUAGGCUUCGUGUCGCAGCGCUUUUCGGACGGGGGUUCGACUCCCCCCGCCUCCACCA
Molecule: non-coding RNA, 380 nt
Organism: Acidobacteria bacterium 13_1_40CM_4_58_4
Lineage: Bacteria; Pseudomonadati; Acidobacteriota
Source: Rfam